GACGAACGCUGGCGGCGUGCUUAACACAUGCAAGUCGAACGGAAAGGCCCUGCUUUUGUGGGGUGCUCGAGUGGCGAACGGGCGAGUAACACGUGAGUAACCUGCCCUUGACUUUGGGAUAACUUCAGGAAACUGGGGCUAAUACCGGAUAGGAGCUCCUGCUGCAUGGUGGGGGUUGGAAAGUUUCGGCGGUUGGGGAUGGACUCGCGGCUUAUCAGCUUGUUGGUGGGGUAGUGGCUUACCAAGGCUUUGACGGGUAGCCGGCCUGAGAGGGUGACCGGCCACAUUGGGACUGAGAUACGGCCCAGACUCCUACGGGAGGCAGCAGUGGGGAAUAUUGCGCAAUGGGCGGAAGCCUGAUGCAGCAACGCCGCGUGCGGGAUGACGGCCUUCGGGUUGUAAACCGCUUUCGCCUGUGACGAAGCGUGAGUGACGGUAAUGGGUAAAGAAGCACCGGCUAACUACGUG
This 468-nucleotide ribosomal RNA is filed under the name uncultured bacterium. RNAcentral describes it as "partial 16S ribosomal RNA". It matches the Rfam family "Bacterial small subunit ribosomal RNA", at positions 28 to 507 of the family's 1533-position model. The record is from RNAcentral.